CGUACACUCCUACGGGAGGCAGCAGUGGGGAAUAUUGGACAAUGGGCGCAAGCCUGAUCCAGCCAUGCCGCGUGAGUGAUGAAGGCCCUAGGGUUGUAAAGCUCUUUCACCGGUGAAGAUAAUGACGGUAACCGGAGAAGAAGCCCCGGCUAACUUCGUGCCAGCAGCCGCGGUAAUACGAAGGGGGCUAGCGUUGUUCGGAUUUACUGGGCGUAAAGCGCACGUAGGCGGACUAUUAAGUCAGGGGUGAAAUCCCGGGGCUCAACCCCGGAACUGCCUUUGAUACUGGUAGUCUUGAGUUCGAGGGAGGUGAGUGGAAUUCCGAGUGUAGAGGUGAAAUUCGUAGAUAUUCGGAGGAACACCAGUGGCGAAGGCGGCUCACUGGCUCGAUACUGACGCUGAGGUGCGAAAGCGUGGGGAGCAAACAGGAUUAGAAACCCUUGUAGUCCCAU
RNAcentral lists this ribosomal RNA (452 nucleotides) under uncultured organism. RNAcentral's name for it is "partial 16S ribosomal RNA". It matches the Rfam family "Bacterial small subunit ribosomal RNA", at positions 330 to 798 of the family's 1533-position model. The record is from RNAcentral.